CGAAAGCCUGACGGAGCAACGCCGCGUGUGGGAAGAAGGCUCUUGGGCUGUCAACCACUUUUCUCAGGGAAGAAGCUCUGACGGUACCUGAGGAAUCAGCCUCGGCUAACUCCGUGCCAGCAGCCGCGGUAAUACGGAGGAGGCAAGCGUUAUCCGGAAUUAUUGGGCGUAAAGCGUCCGCAGGUGGCUUCUCAAGUCUGCUGUCAAAGGUCGGGGCUUAACUCCGUUAAGGCAGUGGAAACUGAAUGGCUAGAGUGCCGUAGGGGUAGAGGGAAUUCCCGGUGUAGCGGUGAAAUGCGUAGAGAUCGGGAAGAACAUCGGUGGCGAAAGCGCUCUACUGGGUCGCACCUGACCCUCAGGGACGAAAGCUAAGGUAGCG
This 379-nucleotide ribosomal RNA is filed under the name uncultured cyanobacterium. Its description in RNAcentral is "bacterial SSU rRNA". It matches the Rfam family "Bacterial small subunit ribosomal RNA", at positions 376 to 770 of the family's 1533-position model. The record is from RNAcentral. Lineage: Bacteria; Bacillati; Cyanobacteriota.